RNAcentral lists this unclassified non-coding RNA (224 nucleotides) under Hevea brasiliensis (rubber tree). Lineage: Eukaryota; Viridiplantae; Streptophyta; Magnoliopsida; Malpighiales; Euphorbiaceae. The record is from RNAcentral.
GUACCUCCUGUAACACAUACUUUAUCUUUAUCUGCUUCCAUCAAAAGCCUUCGAGGAAGAAAGCAACGGCACAAAUUGCUCUCUGUCCUUUUAAUUUGCUCUCGGAGAUUUUUUUCUUUCACCGAAGAGAUAUCAAUUUCAAAGGCUCACGGAGAUGGAGCCAUUGAAACGCAAGGAAUGAUUGAUGAGUGUGGCACUAAUGAAAUGAUUUGCAUAAGUUCAAC